AUGGUACUUUUGAAGUGGUUAUAGCUGAGCUCAUCAGUAUGCUUCCAGAUUUGAAGACUUUGUCAUUGACUUUGGGUUCCACCACAAAGUUCUUUAAGUUUUCGUAGAGAGGAAUGAUGUGAAGGUGCUCUCAGCAGAAGGAAUUAACAACUCUUUUUGAACUCCAGAAGCUUAGAGAUUGGCAACUGUUAUCGUCGAACAAUUGUUCCAUGACUUGGUCAGUCGCUAUGGUACUGGACCAGUUUUUUUG
RNAcentral lists this unclassified non-coding RNA (250 nucleotides) under Hevea brasiliensis (rubber tree). Lineage: Eukaryota; Viridiplantae; Streptophyta; Magnoliopsida; Malpighiales; Euphorbiaceae. The record is from RNAcentral.